AUGGGGCAGGAGACAGCCUGGGUCCUGGGCAGCCCAGGAAGCCUGCUCGGCUCCCUCCCCUACUCGAGGUUCCUGCCUGGGCAGCUGCUCCACACCCAGCACCUCCGUGUGUCUCUUUCCCCUGGAGACUUGCUGAAGCACUCCGCAGCACCCGGGACCAGAAAGGGCUCUCCGGUGGCCUACACCCUGCCCGACUGGUACAUCCAUCACAGCAAGCCGCCCACCGCCAGCCGGCGUCCGGUGCCCGUGGUCACCAUGCCAGAUUACAUGGUAUACGAAGAGUUCCACCCCAGCCAAGCCAACGGUGGCUACGAGUCUAGAAGAGGACCCUUCAACUUCGACAUGAAAACAGUGUGGCAGAGAGAGGCCGAAGAGCUUGAGGAGAAAAAGAAGGUGAGGCUGCCGGCCAUUAACUCAAAGCACCCCAACAAAGUGGGGACGCCGGUGGGUGCCAGAGACUCUGAGGGAAGCAGGCUGUCUUUCCCCCCCAUGCCUGGUCAGAGAGCCGGCUCCCCAACAAACUUCUCCAAGCUCAUCAGCAAUGGUUACAAGGACGAGUGGUUGCAGCAGCAGCAGCUGCGAGCUGACUCUGAGAAGAGGACCUGGAAGACGUCCAGGGUGUCGGUGUCAUCCCAGUCCACGCGGGACCCCAAGGGACUCCAGGAUGUAGCAUCACCACAGGACACACAGGCUCUGGAAGUCUCCGAGAAGGCUAAAGACCCAGUGACACCUCCCCCAGCACCGACACCGGCAGAGCUCAAGUAGACUGGCAGUGAUGUCUGGGGUCACCUUCCCCGGACCGCCUGCGCGAUGACGUCACAGAUGUCCCAGCCCACCGGGCCCAUUCCCAAGGCUCCUGGAACGGAGAUCCCCCGCGGACUGUGGUCUCCCAUCAGCUUUGACGCCCGCACUGCGCAGGCGCCCUUGCGUUUCUCCCCGAGACUCUGAACACGCGGUCCCCGCCGUCCUCUGCUUCGCUGGCCGCGAUGUCCCCGUGCUGGGGACCAGCUCCUUCUUCCCGUGCUCCUCUGAACCAGAAAAACCCAGAACAAGCUUCAAGCCUCUCCCACCAGUUGUCCUGAAACCUCUGUAGAAAUGAUUUUUUCUGGUGCAAAAAAAUAAUCGAUUUUAGAAUAUGGGGAUAAAGUUUAUAUUAAAGAAAGAUUUUAUUAUGACUUGAAGUUUUAAACAUUGAAUAUACAAUAAAACAUUGUAACAUUUGCUAGUUUUACAUUUUUUUUUUGCUAAUACUUUUUAAAAGUCCAG
Molecule: long non-coding RNA, 1266 nt
Filed under: Fukomys damarensis (Damara mole-rat)
Lineage: Eukaryota; Metazoa; Chordata; Mammalia; Rodentia; Bathyergidae
Description: lncRNA (ENSFDAG00000030801.1)
Source: RNAcentral